Pelmatolapia mariae (spotted tilapia) is the source of this 268-nucleotide long non-coding RNA. RefSeq lists it as uncharacterized. The record is from RefSeq and is a predicted model, not a curated record. NCBI's taxonomy places the organism in Eukaryota, Metazoa, Chordata, Actinopteri, Cichliformes, Cichlidae. The transcript has 4 exons.
CUACCGGUCGGUGCUGAAAAGAAAUCUACUCUACAAAUAUUCUACAUAUUCUCCAGAAGAGAUAUUAAAGAUCACCAUGAAGCUGCUGACCGUGUUUGCACUUCUUUGUGUAAUGAUCCCUCUGAUCAUUACUGCUCAAAAAACGGACAAAAGUGGGCCAGAGGAUAAUCCCCAAGAAGAGCAUCUUGUUGACAAGAGAUUCCUGUGGCAUUGGCGCAGAUAUCGCGUUUGCCUUAGAUAUGGCUGGAAAUGGAGGAGGCAUUUUGGA